GGGGAAAGAGAUUCCUACAGGCGAAAUUGCUGUAUCAAAAGAUGAUGUAUGGUUCUAUUAUUGCUAGGGGCUGCCAAAAGGGAAAGAGACUGCCCAUUUCCCCACAUCCAUGCCAGAACUGCAUGUUCUUGUUUUUGCCACUCUGGGGAGAGGCGCCCUUCCUCAUGGCCCUAGGAAGGUAGUGAAGUUAUGUCCCAGCCCCAGGUAGGCAGCCUCCUUCCCUCUCAAAGCCCUGCCCCUCCCAAAAGUCACUGCUACCCUAAGUGUUAUGGAUAUCACUUGUGUUUCUUUCUUGUUUUACCAACCAUGUGAGCAGCCCCAGACACUAUACUUAAUCUUGC
RNAcentral lists this long non-coding RNA (341 nucleotides) under Homo sapiens (human). RNAcentral describes it as "non-protein coding lnc-SLC9A8-5:2". Lineage: Eukaryota; Metazoa; Chordata; Mammalia; Primates; Hominidae. The record is from RNAcentral.